This is a long non-coding RNA of Hemicordylus capensis (graceful crag lizard), 272 nucleotides long. RefSeq lists it as uncharacterized. Lineage: Eukaryota; Metazoa; Chordata; Lepidosauria; Squamata; Cordylidae. The transcript has 3 exons. The record is from RefSeq and is a predicted model, not a curated record.
CCAGGAAGAUCAAUUCAGUAGUGAUGGAGGAGACUACUCCUUAGAGUGGCCAACUGAAAGCAACCAAGUGCUGCUGUUUCCUCAGACGCUAAGGUUUCUGGAGAACUUUGUAGCACAUGGCUUUGUAAGGAAGUUACAAAUCUAAUCAACCAGGGAUUAUGUGAUACAGUGGGAACCUUUUCUAAAACAUACUCCAGAAUUAAUCAUUUCUUCCUGGGAUGUUACUGGAUAAUCAUCUCCUAACCAGGGAAAGAUCACCAACAACUACACAG